UUGAGGAAUAGCUCAGUCUGUAGAGCAUGAGACCCUUCAUCUCAGGGUUGUGGGUUCCAGCCCCACAUUGGGCAAAA
Podarcis lilfordi (Lilford's wall lizard) is the source of this 77-nucleotide non-coding RNA. Lineage: Eukaryota; Metazoa; Chordata; Lepidosauria; Squamata; Lacertidae. The record is from the annotation of a GenBank genome assembly.